RNAcentral lists this ribosomal RNA (253 nucleotides) under uncultured bacterium. RNAcentral's name for it is "partial 16S ribosomal RNA". It matches the Rfam family "Bacterial small subunit ribosomal RNA", at positions 524 to 776 of the family's 1533-position model. The record is from RNAcentral.
UACAGAGGUCUCAAGCGUUGUUCGGAUUCAUUGGGCGUAAAGGGCGCGUAGGCGGCGGGGUAAGUCGGGUGUGAAAUCUCAGAGCUCAACUCUGAAACUGCACUCGAUACUGCUCUGCUUGAGGACUGGAGAGGAGACUGGAAUUCACGGUGUAGCAGUGAAAUUCGUAGAUAUUCGCAAGAACACCAGUGGCGAAGGCGGCUCACUGGCCCGAUACUGACGCUGAGGCACGAAAGCGUGGGGAGCAAACAGG